CAGUCGCCGCGGGAAUACGUAGGGUGCAAGCGUUAAUCGGAAUUACUGGGCGUAAAGCGUGCGCAGGCGGUUCGGAAAGAAAGAUGUGAAAUCCCAGGGCUCAACCUUGGAACUGCAUUUUUAACUACCGGACUAGAGUAUGUCAGAGGGAGGUGGAAUUCCACGUGUAGCAGUGAAAUGCGUAGAUAUGUGGAGGAACACCGAUGGCGAAGGCAGCCUCCUGGGAUAAUACUGACGCUCAUGCACGAAAGCGUGGGGAGCAAACAGGAUUAGAUACCCCUGUAGUCCCUGUCUCUUAUAC
RNAcentral lists this ribosomal RNA (301 nucleotides) under uncultured bacterium. RNAcentral describes it as "partial 16S ribosomal RNA". It matches the Rfam family "Bacterial small subunit ribosomal RNA", at positions 509 to 807 of the family's 1533-position model. The record is from RNAcentral.